This 301-nucleotide ribosomal RNA is filed under the name uncultured bacterium. RNAcentral's name for it is "partial 16S ribosomal RNA". It matches the Rfam family "Bacterial small subunit ribosomal RNA", at positions 509 to 809 of the family's 1533-position model. The record is from RNAcentral.
CAGCAGCCACGGUAAUACGGAGGGGGCUAGCGUUGUUCGGAAUUACUGGGCGUAAAGCGCACGUAGGCGGCUUUUCAAGUCAGGGGUGAAAGCCCGGAGCUCAACUCCGGAAUUGCCCUUGAGACUGAGGAGCUAGCAGGUGAGAGAGGUGAGUGGAAUUCCGAGUGUAGAGGUGAAAUUCGUAGAUAUUCGGAAGAACACCAGUGGCGAAGGCGGCUCACUGGCUCAUACUGGACGCUGAGGUGCGAAAGCGUGGGGAGCAAACAGGAUUAGAUACCCGCGUAGUCCCUGUCUCUUAUAA